RNAcentral lists this ribosomal RNA (816 nucleotides) under uncultured bacterium. RNAcentral describes it as "bacterial SSU rRNA". It matches the Rfam family "Bacterial small subunit ribosomal RNA", at positions 58 to 916 of the family's 1533-position model. The record is from RNAcentral.
CAAGUCGAACGGGAAUCUUCGGAUUCUAGUGGCGGACGGGUGAGUAACGCGUAAGAAUCUAACUUCAGGACGGGGACAACAGUUGGAAACGACUGCUAAUACCCGAUAUGCCGCGAGGUGAAACCUAAUUGGCCUGAAGAAGAGCUUGCGUCUGAUUAGCUAGUUGGUGGGGUAAGAGCCUACCAAGGCGACGAUCAGUAGCUGGUCUGAGAGGAUGAGCAGCCACACUGGGACUGAGACACGGCCCAGACUCCUACGGGAGGCAGCAGUGGGGAAUUUUCCGCAAUGGGCGAAAGCCUGACGGAGCAACGCCGCGUGAGGGAGGAAGGUCUUUGGAUUGUAAACCUCUUUUCUCAAGGAAGAAGUUCUGACGGUACUUGAGGAAUCAGCCUCGGCUAACUCCGUGCCAGCAGCCGCGGUAAUACGGGGGAGGCAAGCGUUAUCCGGAAUUAUUGGGCGUAAAGCGUCCGCAGGUGGUCAGCCAAGUCUGCUGUCAAAUCAGGUUGCUUAACGACCUAAAGGCGGUGGAAACUGGCAGACUAGAGAGCAGUAGGGGUAGCAGGAAUUCCCAGUGUAGCGGUGAAAUGCGUAGAGAUUGGGAAGAACAUCGGUGGCGAAAGCGUGCUACUGGGCUGUAUCUGACACUCAGGGACGAAAGCUAGGGGAGCGAAAGGGAUUAGAUACCCCUGUAGUCCUAGCCGUAAACGAUGGAUACUAGGCGUGGCUUGUAUCGACACGAGCCGUGCCGAAGCUAACGCGUUAAGUAUCCCGCCUGGGGAGUACGCACGCAAGUGUGAAACUCAAAGGAAUUGACGG